AGGAGGGAAACCAACAACGGCUUAUCUUCAACUCCAGCGCACAAACACAUACACACUCUUAUCUGUAUCUCUUAAUUCAAAUGGAACACUUGUCCUUGAGUUCCUCUUCGCAAAAUGAAACCCAAACCGACAAUGCGGGAUUGCCCGAGAAAAAAAUCGGAAUCCAAGGGCUAAGGAAAAAGAUUGUGAAGAAGGGAAAUUCAUGGCAAACUCCAUUUCCUGGAGAUGAAGUGGAAGUUCAUUUCAAUGGAUAUAUCGAGGGUGGGGCAAUUCUUGAGUCAAGUCGUGAUAAAGGGAUUCCCUUCAAGUUCAAAUUAGGCCAGGGUAAGUAGAGCUAAUCAAUCCAUAUCAAUGGCGGUAUGUCUAUAUUGUUGGCUACAUAGAUGAUAAGUUUUUGUUUGGUGUUUGGGUUCUAGGUGAAGUAAUCGAAGGAUGGGAUGAAGGGGUUGCCACCAUGAAGAAUGGAGAAAGAGCAAUUUUUACGGUACCGCCAAACUUGGCCUACGGGGAGGCUGGUUCUCCACCACUGAUUCCUCCCAAUGCAACUCUUGUUUUUGAUGUUGAGAUGGUGUCUUGGAGUAGCAUCAGGGAUUUAACAGGCGAUGGAGGAAUAUUGAAGAAGAUAAUGAAGGAGGGUGAAGGAUGGGCUACACCAAGAGAUGGAGAUGAAGUUUUAGGUAAACUUCUGCUCUUGUAAUCAUAAACUUGUUGAAGCUAGGGAAACAUCUGCUCUUGUAAUCAUAAACUUCUGCUGUAUAAUUAACUCUAAAUCACACUUUGACUUUUAUAAUGAGUGGUUUAUCUGCAAAAUAGUAAUGCAUUUCCGUCUCUGCAGUGAAGUGUGAGGCAAGGAUUGAGACUGGAAUGCUUGUCUCCAAAUCC
Molecule: long non-coding RNA, 882 nt
Organism: Populus euphratica (Euphrates poplar)
Lineage: Eukaryota; Viridiplantae; Streptophyta; Magnoliopsida; Malpighiales; Salicaceae
Exons: 2
Source: RefSeq, a predicted model, not a curated record